GGUGUAGCUCAGUGGUAGAGUGCUUGCCUAGCAUGCAUAAGGCCCUGGCUUCAAUCCCCAGUACCA
RNAcentral lists this transfer RNA (66 nucleotides) under Marmota monax (woodchuck). RNAcentral describes it as "tRNA.Ala". It matches the Rfam family "tRNA". From Rfam's summary of the family: Transfer RNA (tRNA) molecules are approximately 80 nucleotides in length. Their secondary structure includes four short double-helical elements and three loops (D, anti-codon, and T loops). The record is from RNAcentral. Lineage: Eukaryota; Metazoa; Chordata; Mammalia; Rodentia; Sciuridae.